RNAcentral lists this unclassified non-coding RNA (1327 nucleotides) under Monomorium pharaonis (pharaoh ant). Its description in RNAcentral is "protein yellow, transcript variant X1". The record is from RNAcentral. Lineage: Eukaryota; Metazoa; Arthropoda; Insecta; Hymenoptera; Formicidae.
AGUUUAUAAUGCAAUUGCGAUAAUUAUAAAUAAUUUAGUAUUUUGCUUUUAUAUUUUUCUGUUAUUUUGAUGUACAUAAACUUUUAUUUAUUAAAAGAUAAUAAAAUUAUCUCGAAAAGAUGGGAAAACAAUAUUCAACUAAUAAAAUAAUUAUUUAAUUAGUACAAUAUUUAACUUCUGCAUUUUGUAUAUAAAAUAUUUAAAUUUUAAUUUAAUUUUAAAAUUAAUAUUUAAUUUAAAUUUAAAAUAAAAGUUCUUUUCUAGAGAAAAAAAGUAAAACAUUACCUUUAUUGGUUUUAACAAAUAAUUGUUGCAAUUGUAAUUACUCCAGUUUUGUAGAUUAAUAUCUUUUUUUUAAACGAAAAGCUAAGUUCUUUUUAGUAUAGAAAAAAUAUUUCUUAGUUAUUCAAAGUUUAUUUCACGCUCAUAAACGCAUUUACGUGAGAGGGAAAUAUCUGCAAAGGAACCUCACGAGAAAGCAAUAUCGUUUAUAUUAUUAAUAUACUUUAUCGCAGCUUCGAAAAAAAUUCCCAUAUGAGGAAGCUUGUGCACAAAGAAAUAGCCGAUUUUAUUUGUAUACCUUCGAUUGAACGUAAACGAAAUCGUUGCUCUCUAACCGCGUCUAAAUCCAGGGUAAAAGGGCAACCGCAUUCUUCGGCGAGUUUAAAUGGGGAGAAGCCGCGCGUGAAAAGUGCGCUGGUUGCAAAUCGCGGGUUACGUCAGUAGCGAUCGAUCGACAAAGCGCAGUAUCAGUCUUCGCAGAAGUUAAUGAGACACGAGUUCGACGUAAAUCGCAGAUUGCGAUCGUGAUCGUCGUUUUCAACGCGGAAAAAUGAAGUAGUCAGCAUACCGCGAUAUCUACGGGAAUUUUAUGACCGUUUAGAAGAUAACGGCUUUUUUCUUCCCCAACGACGGCGAUCCCUCGAAAGACGCACACAACUGCAGACCUUGUCACGGCUGUUGUAGAUGCCGUAAUGAGAAUGUCUACGCAUGUGUGCGAUAAUGUUGCGACAUUACUGGUAGGCGAUCGUAUCUGCCUCGUUUCACGGCGUUUGGUAUUUACAGCUAUAAACUCCAAUGAAACGCGCUUCGGUGCUUGACGAUAAAACCGUUUAAUCGCGAUAUCUUCAUUAUACUUCCUUUCCACCGUACGUGCGUGAUCAUUAAUUUUGCCGAUCGUCGGCGAUUUUACGGGGUUAACAUGCGAUAUAUUAGCGGGUUAAUGCUCAACGUUAAUUCAAGCCAGGCGUGCCAGCGACCUUAGCGCGAGUCUCCUUGAAAGAUAAGAACUGCCAGGCCGGUCUCGUUGCCUUCCCUUGCUGGUCGC